Molecule: ribosomal RNA, 382 nt
Filed under: uncultured bacterium
Lineage: Bacteria
Description: bacterial SSU rRNA
Rfam family: Bacterial small subunit ribosomal RNA
Source: RNAcentral
GACGAACGCUGGCGGCGCGCCUAACACAUGCAAGUCGAACGAGCGAGAGAGAGCUUGCUUUCUCGAGCGAGUGGCGAACGGGUGAGUAACGCGUGAGGAACCUGCCUCAAAGAGGGGGACAACAGUUGGAAACGACUGCUAAUACCGCAUAAGCCCACGGUGCCGCAUGGCACAGAGGGAAAAGGAGCAAUCCGCUUUGAGAUGGCCUCGCGUCCGAUUAGCUAGUCGGUGAGGUAACGGCCCACCAAGGCGACGAUCAGUAGCCGGACUGAGAGGUUGACGGCCACAUUGGGACUGAGAUACGGCCCAGACUCCUACGGAGGCAGCAGUGGGGAANAUUGGGCAAUGGGCGCAAGCCUGACCCAGCAAACGCCGCCGUGAA